UACGAAGGGGGCUAGCGUUGCUCGGAAUUACUGGGCGUAAAGAGCUCGUAGGCGGUCUGUCGCGUCGGAUGUGAAAACCCAGGGCUCAACCCUGGGCCUGCAUUCGAUACGGGCAGACUAGAGUUCGGUAGGGGAGACUGGAAUUCCUGGUGUAGCGGUGAAAUGCGCAGAUAUCAGGAGGAACACCGGUGGCGAAGGCGGGUCUCUGGGCCGAAACUGACGCUGAGGAGCGAAAGCGUGGGGAGCAAACAGG
This 253-nucleotide ribosomal RNA is filed under the name uncultured bacterium. RNAcentral describes it as "partial 16S ribosomal RNA". It matches the Rfam family "Bacterial small subunit ribosomal RNA", at positions 524 to 776 of the family's 1533-position model. The record is from RNAcentral.